Molecule: non-coding RNA, 44 nt
Filed under: Schistosoma curassoni
Lineage: Eukaryota; Metazoa; Platyhelminthes; Trematoda; Strigeidida; Schistosomatidae
Source: RNAcentral
ACAAAAAGAAGAGUCCUAAAUAGGACGAAACGCGCGUCCUGGAU